UGGGGAAUAUUGCACAAUGGGCGCAAGCCUGAUGCAGCCAUGCCGCGUGUAUGAAGAAGGCCUUCGGGUUGUAAAGUACUUUCAGCGGGGAGGAAGGCGAUAAGGUUAAUAACCUUGUCGAUUGACGUUACCCGCAGAAGAAGCACCGGCUAACUCCGUGCCAGCAGCCGCGGUAAUACGGAGGGUGAAAGCGUUAAUCGGAAUUACUGGGCGUAAAGCGCACGCAGGCGGUCUGUCAAGUCGGAUGUGAAAUCCCCGGGCUCAACCUGGGAACUGCAUUCGAAACUGGCAGGCUAGAGUCUUGUAGAGGGGGGUAGAAUUCCAGGUGUAGCGGUGAAAUGCGUAGAGAUCUGGAGGAAUACCGGUGGCGAAGGCGGCCCCCUGGACAAAGACUGACGCUCAGGUGCGAAAGCGUGGGGAGCAAACA
This 427-nucleotide ribosomal RNA is filed under the name uncultured bacterium. Its description in RNAcentral is "partial 16S ribosomal RNA". It matches the Rfam family "Bacterial small subunit ribosomal RNA", at positions 355 to 774 of the family's 1533-position model. The record is from RNAcentral.